Drosophila persimilis is the source of this 615-nucleotide long non-coding RNA. RefSeq lists it as uncharacterized. The transcript has 4 exons. The record is from RefSeq and is a predicted model, not a curated record. NCBI's taxonomy places the organism in Eukaryota, Metazoa, Arthropoda, Insecta, Diptera, Drosophilidae.
UGUGUCUUUCAAGUGAGUACGAUAAAAUAUGUACCUGGUGUUUUGCUGUAUGGAACAUAAUCCUUGGCCUAACGUGGAGCAUUCUGGGCUAUCUCGCUGUAAUCGGACAUGAACAUGGUCUACACUCUAGGUACUACGACAUUGUAGUUUGUUUGUACACCGUUACGGUCUGUAUUUGUGCGCCCCUACAUUUGUUGUCGGGCAUAUUGAUAAUCGUUGGAGAUUGGAAGGAUAGCCAACAAACGUUCAAAGUAGGCAAAAAUCUAAGCAAUUUAUUCCCAUUCUUUUUGCUCGGGACUAUCAUUUUUCCAGUUAUACAUUUCAUUGGCCUGGGCAGGGUUUGUAGCUAUUAUGAAAAGCGCUGGAAGUGAUUUGAAUUCUGUGCAUCGCUUCUGCGCUUUCAGUGUUGUGUGUUUCAGUUUCAAAGUGUUAUCCAGCACUUAAAUGAAAGGCCCAGUCCUGGGGGCCGUCAUCAUCAUCAGCAGAUCCAUCAAUGGCUACAGAGGCAUCCUUUAGCUCCUUCUACACGGACCGCUUAACAUUACAAUUUAACCUAAUACUUAUACAUAUGUUCAUAAUUAAUUUCUUCAACUUAUUUCUUUUUAUAAAUCUAAU